RNAcentral lists this long non-coding RNA (1217 nucleotides) under Monodelphis domestica (gray short-tailed opossum). RNAcentral describes it as "lncRNA (ENSMODG00000047554.1)". Lineage: Eukaryota; Metazoa; Chordata; Mammalia; Didelphimorphia; Didelphidae. The record is from RNAcentral.
UAGAUUCAACCCGAAAGUUGUCUUCUUCCUUGGAAUGUGAGCUCUUGGGGGGCAGGGUUGGUCCAUCGCCAAUGUGGCGUCUGACACACAGUAGGAGUUAGUCAAUCAAUGAACAGUUAUUAAACCUGAACUUUGUUCUAGGCAUUAGGCUACGGACCAGGGAUCCAAAGAGGUAAAAAAAAAAAAGAUCUGGCCUCACAGGAAGCUGGGGAUCCAUAGAGAUGGCAGGGUUGGGGGUAGGAGCCUAGAACAGGGGGUGUCAGGCUGGGAGGGGGCUAGAACAGGGGGUGUCAGGCUGGGAGGGGGCUAGAACAGGGGGUGUCAGGCUGGGAAUUCCCCUGGUCAUCUAGUACCACCCCUUCAUUUUACUGAUAGGGAAACUAAGGACCAGAGGACAGUGGAGAGAAGACUGAACAAGGGUCAGGAGAUCCAGGUUCAAAUUUCGACAGAACUUCUCUGCGUGACUCUAGAUGAGUCCUCUUCCCUCCUCCUCUCUCAGGCCUUCAUUGGGAUACUUGGGAAGCCACGAGGUCCCCUUGGCACUCUCCCUCUCUUCUGAAAUGGGGGAGCGCAGCCCGGAACACAACAGCCAGCACUUGGAGAGAAACUGACGGUAAGAACCACAGGCUCAUCCAUCGUGUUCUUAGAAUCACAUUAGCCUAGACUCUUGGAAUCCCACAGAGAGAGUCUUUGAAUUUGAGAAUCACUUGCUCAGAAUCAAAGAAACUUGGACUCUGUCUAGUCUUGGCAUGAUCAGCUCGUGAUACCAGAAUCACAGGCUUUGAAUCAGAGAAUCUCAGAAUUUUGGAAUCAUAGAAUGUUAGACUUCUUAGAUCAGCAAAUCUUAGAAUCUGAUUUUAGAAUUUGUUUCCCUCGAAUUUGACUUAGAAUCCUAGAAUCUAAGACCUGGAGAAUCUUCAUCUUUUUAACCGAUAAAUUUUAGCAGCUGAUACCCCCCAAUACAACCUACGAUAGAUACAUACUUGCUGGAAACUGUUAAACAAAUGAGAUAAAAGAAUGGUACCAACUGAGAAGGCACGGAACAGUGCCCAUUUUAAGGCACCCUCUGCUCAAGAAGAAAGCUGUGUGCUUUCCCUUGGAACAAGUGAUACCAGAGAUACCUGACGCUGCACUUCCUUUGGAUUCUGAAUUCUGUCAAUUUUGUCUGGCUAGAUAGAUGAGGUCAGACAGACAAAUAAAGAGAUAAUAGAGAUACA